This 78-nucleotide transfer RNA is filed under the name Lachnospiraceae bacterium. Its description in RNAcentral is "tRNA-Phe". It matches the Rfam family "tRNA". Rfam says of the family: Transfer RNA (tRNA) molecules are approximately 80 nucleotides in length. Their secondary structure includes four short double-helical elements and three loops (D, anti-codon, and T loops). Lineage: Bacteria; Bacillati; Bacillota; Clostridia; Lachnospirales; Lachnospiraceae. The record is from RNAcentral.
GGGUUCGUAGCACAAGCGGUCUUAUGCGGCGGUCUGAAAAACCGCAGAGUGUUGGCUCGACACCAACCGAACCCACCA